CAAGCCCGAUGCGCUAGUCUCAAAAGGAGGCAGAUUUCUACAACAAAGAAAACUGCAGAAAACUGCAGAAAACUGAUAUAUAUCGAACAGGUGGAUUUUUUUAAUGUUUUGCUGUGUUUGUUGUAUCGUUGUUGCUCUUGCUCGACUAUAAAAUAUGUCGAUCAAGGAGAUGGAUGGUCUGGUCAAAGGUCAUCAAUUGAUGAAAGCUUGGGAGUUUCUCACCAGUCAGGCUCACAGGUUGUUCCAAUCUUGCUGACAGUGUAUCUGUUCCAGCCCAGCACCGGAGGGAAGGUCCAAAUGAAGGAAAAGGUCCAGACGAAGAGUAGACCCAUUAUGGCGUGUUUGGCUUGCAGUCGGAUGUUGCCCAGAGGUCGGCAGAUCACAAAGAAUCGUUCGAAAGAUAGAAUGGCCAGAGACCAUAGGGCCACGAUUCC
Long non-coding RNA from Nerophis ophidion (straightnose pipefish), 434 nucleotides. RefSeq lists it as uncharacterized. The record is from RefSeq and is a predicted model, not a curated record. The transcript is spliced from 2 exons. NCBI's taxonomy places the organism in Eukaryota, Metazoa, Chordata, Actinopteri, Syngnathiformes, Syngnathidae.